CCUACGGGUGGCAGCAGUGAGGAAUAUUGGUCAAUGGGCGCGAGCCUGAACCAGCCAAGUCGCGUGAGGGAUGAAGGGCCUACGGGUUGUAAACCUCUUUUAUAAGGGAAUAAAGUGUGGGACGUGUCCCAUUAUGUAUGUACCUUAUGAAUAAGGAUCGGCUAACUACGUGCCAGCAGCCGCGGUAAUACGGAGGAUCCGAGCGUUAUCCGGAUUUAUUGGGUGUAACGGGGGCGUAGACGGCGUUGUAAGUCAGUGGUGAAAGUCUGGGGCUCAACCCUGGAAUUGAGGUUGAGACUGGGUGGCUUGAGUACAGGUGAGGCAGGCGGAAUGCGUGGUGUAGCGGUGAAAUGCUUAGAUAGCACGAAGAACACCGAUUGCGAAGGCAGCCUGCUAGACUGUCACUGACGUUGAUGCACGAAAGCGUGGGGAGCAAACAGGAUUAGAUACCCCUGUAGUC
This 460-nucleotide ribosomal RNA is filed under the name uncultured bacterium. Its description in RNAcentral is "partial 16S ribosomal RNA". It matches the Rfam family "Bacterial small subunit ribosomal RNA", at positions 338 to 795 of the family's 1533-position model. The record is from RNAcentral.